GUCUGUGAAGGUGCUGCAUGGUUGUCGUCAGCUCGUGCCGUGAGGUGUCGGCUUAAGUGCCAUAACGAGCGCAACCCCUUUUUUCAGUUGCCAUCAGGUGAUGCUGGGCACUCUGGAGAUACUGCCACCGUAAGGUGUGAGGAAGGUGGGGAUGACGUCAAAUCAGCACGGCCCUUACGUCCGGGGCUACACACGUGUUACAAUGGCCGGUACAGAGAGUUGGUUGUGUGCAAAUACGAUCUAAUCCUUAAAGCCGGUCCCAGUUCGGACUGGGGUCUGCAACCCGACCCCACGAAGCUGGAUUCGCUAGUAAUCGCGCAUCAGCCAUGGCGCGGUGAAUACGUUCCCGGGCCUUGUACACACCGCCCGUCAAGCCAUGAAAGCCGGGGGUGCCUGAAGUCUGUGACCGCAAGGAACGGCCUAGGGCAAAACUGGUGAUUGGGGCUAAGUCGUAACAAGGUAGCCGUACCGGAAGGUGCGGCUGGAACACCUCCUUU
Molecule: ribosomal RNA, 497 nt
Filed under: Segatella salivae
Lineage: Bacteria; Pseudomonadati; Bacteroidota; Bacteroidia; Bacteroidales; Prevotellaceae
Description: bacterial SSU rRNA
Rfam family: Bacterial small subunit ribosomal RNA
Source: RNAcentral